This 483-nucleotide long non-coding RNA is filed under the name Physcomitrium patens. RNAcentral's name for it is "long non-coding RNA (PPAT_LNC007928)". Lineage: Eukaryota; Viridiplantae; Streptophyta; Bryopsida; Funariales; Funariaceae. The record is from RNAcentral.
UCAAAGAAAUUUGAAACCAACAAUAAGAAUUCUUAAAGAAAUAUUAGAAUGAUCACAAAUAUCACUCAAAUACAUCUCAAUUCAAUCUUUAUUUAAUUCUAGUCAAAAUCCUAUUGAACUUCAUUCAAACUUUAGGCCAAAACUAAUUAAAUCUUUAACCCUUAUAAAAUCCUAAACCCUAAAUCAAAUCCUAAACAAACCUUAAAUCAAACCCCAAUCAAAUCCUAAACCAAAUUAUAAUCAAAUCCUAAACCAAAUCCUAAACCCUAAAUAAAAUCCUAACCAAACCCUAAACCCUAACCCUAAACCAAAUCCUAAUCCUAAAUCAAAUCCUAAUCCAAAUUCUAAAUCCUAAUCCUAAUCCAAAUCCUAAAUCCUAAUCCUAAAGCAAAUCCUAAUCCUAAAUCAAAUCCUAAUCCAAACCCUAAAUUCUAAUCCUAAAAUAAAUCCUAAUCAGAACUCUAAAUCCUAAAUCCUAAAUCA